Molecule: long non-coding RNA, 1352 nt
Organism: Rhineura floridana
Lineage: Eukaryota; Metazoa; Chordata; Lepidosauria; Squamata; Rhineuridae
Exons: 4
Source: RefSeq, a predicted model, not a curated record
GGCUCUUCUUAUGAUCUUAAGCUAAACAGUUGGAGACACUUUUGAAAGGCCUAUUGUGUGAAUAGAGCAGCUGCUGUAUGCUUUCAAAUCCUUACAAUCUACUGCACAUCAAAAUGAAGAAGAGAGCCACGACUCUUGCUUCUGAAUAUGGAAAGUGGCACAGAGUCUUGCUGCGCAUUGAUAAUGAAGGAAUCUCAUGCAAACUGGCAGGAUCGAUGUGUAGUGCAUGCAGAAGAGAACACAAGGUGUGCCCUUCUUCCUUUGGUGGUCAUGGUUCCCCUCUGUUGUUUUCAUCCUGAGGGACAGAUUAGGCUGAGAGGUGGCGUGAGAUUUUAUCUGACAAAGUAAUAAUUAAUAAAGCAAACCAGCAUGCCUUGGAGGUGACAGCAGGGCUUCCAUUAAUUGCCCAGGAAGUCUCAUACUUGAAACAAGGAGGUCUUGAGCAGAUGGAAGGAACAAAAGGAAGAGUAAAAUUGACACACACAUCUUUAUUGAUUAUAUGGCUGUGAAUAAUUAGCACAGUGUCACACAAUGAUGACACCAUAACAGCAUCUUAUGGACUUUACUUUGUUGCCAUGUAUAUUGUGAAAGGCAUAUGGAACCUGAUGGUGAAUGUUUCAGUAUUGACACUGAUUAAAUAAUUUUAAAUAUGUAUCUAUCACAAAUGGCUGAGGAAGAGAAGAAAGCAGGGGUAGACUUGCAAGUCUGGAUUACGUUGAAGUUGAUUACGUCUGGUAGGGCUACUUCCAUUCAUUUCUGGAGAACCAAGAUGUCAAAAGCCAAAUUCCAGCCUGGAUGUUUUCAAGCUUCUGAAAACAAUUUAGCAUUUUCAUCACUCAUGUUCAGCCCAGUAAUUGUAUAACUAGUUAUUUUCAUAGUGGAAAGCACAGGCUUUGCCUUUUGCUACUCCUGCCUUUAUGAGAUUACAGGCCUGCAAGUAAUGGUUUCCAACUGUUUUUUUUAUUCUCAGCUUAAAGAUCAGUAUACCUCAUCAAUAUUAGAAGUCCCUAUAAUAUUGAUUGGAUAUGUUGAUCGAUAUGCUAAUAGUAAAUUCUAAAGAAGCUUCAGUCAUAAGAUGUCAUAGCAAAGCUGUCUUGACAUAGCAUAUAAAUGUUGCAUACAACAGUAUAUUGUGGCAUUCCUUGGUUCCUUCCCAAUUUUACUCUGUAUAAGUGAACUAUUUCAUUUCCAUAUUUUGCUUUGUAUUGUUUCUUGUUGUUGUUCAUAAUCAUUAUCUGGUGUCUUUGUUUUGGGAGCAACUUGAGGAUGAAAAUGUUGCCCUGAAGGGGAUACAACUGUUUGGCAUGCACAGAUAUAUCUUCAAGGAUGGUCAGAUGAUAUUUAUUUCCUAA